RNAcentral lists this transfer RNA (72 nucleotides) under Camelus bactrianus (Bactrian camel). It matches the Rfam family "tRNA". From Rfam's summary of the family: Transfer RNA (tRNA) molecules are approximately 80 nucleotides in length. The record is from Rfam by way of RNAcentral. RNAcentral also lists the same sequence under 2 other names. Lineage: Eukaryota; Metazoa; Chordata; Mammalia; Artiodactyla; Camelidae.
GUAGGUAUAGCUCAGUGGUAGAGUGUAAGUUUAGAAAGCACAAGGUCCUGCGUUCAAUCCCCAGUGCCUCCA